GGAGUGCUCCUAUGGCUUGACUUGACCGUUGUAUCUUGGGAGAUGAUUGUCGAAAAAUCGUUAGCGCCGAUACAGGACAAAUUCAUUUUAAGGAAAGAGUUAUACUCGCCUCGACCAAUCGCAUCACUUAUAUCUAAUUUUUUCUGAUUUCAUUUCUACUUGAUUUUAGAAAAUAAUUAAUUUUAUUUAUAUGAUUUAUACAAGGUUCGAUAUGAAGAAUCACAUGUUUUAAUUCAAGAAUGGAAAUGGUCAGAUUCGAUAAUCAUUGGUUAGUUUCUCAAACUCCAUUUCGGUAAGUCGAAACUUUGUUUCGAUUUCGUGAACAUAAACGAUAUAUUUUUUGUGAAUAUAAUAUGCACAUAAUCGGUGUAUUUUCCAACAGGAUCGCUGUCCUCAAACGUUAUCUGCCCCUUCUUCGAUGUUUUCAAAAUGCUUUAACGGUAUUCCGACAAAUGGUUUGAAGAUUAUAACAAGUCUUGUAAAGAAUUUCACCAAAGUACAAGAUGAAAUUUUCCAAAACUUGAAGAACACGAAGAUAUGAAUGUAAAUCGGGAUUUAAUUGUUCUUAGAACAAUUUAUGGAUUGCUAGAUGUUUUUCUAACAUCUUUCCCUCAAACAUGGCUCUCCUAUAUAUAGUCAUCGACCAGAAGUACGAAAUGAUGCCUAAGUUCAAAUUUGUAACAGCAAACAAAGGUCAAAUUUUUGUCCCAUGUGACCGCAUGGUACAAACCUAUGCGGUCGCAUGGACCAAUACUUUUAUUUAUUUAUUGUUGUUGGUUUUGAAUAACAUAAACACAG
This 798-nucleotide long non-coding RNA is filed under the name Olea europaea subsp. europaea. Lineage: Eukaryota; Viridiplantae; Streptophyta; Magnoliopsida; Lamiales; Oleaceae. The record is from RNAcentral.